GCUGGCGGCAUGCUUAACACAUGCAAGUCGAACGGAAACGAUGGAGCUUGCUCCAGGCGUCGAGUGGCGGACGGGUGAGUAAUGCAUGGGAAUCUGCCUUUUGCUGGGGGAUAACGUAGGGAAACUUACGCUAAUACCGCAUAAGACCUAAGGGUGAAAGCGGGGGACCGAAAGGCCUCGCGGCAAGAGAUGAGCCCAUGUUGGAUUAGCUAGUUGGUGGGGUAAAGGCCUACCAAGGCGACGAUCCAUAGCUGGUCUGAGAGGAUGAUCAGCCACACUGGGACUGAGACACGGCCCAGACUCCUACGGGAGGCAGCAGUGGGGAAUAUUGGACAAUGGGGGGAACCCUGAUCCAGCAAUGCCGCGUGUGUGAAGAAGGCCUUCGGGUUGUAAAGCACUUUCAGUAGGGAGGAAAGGUGCGUAGUUAAUACCUGCGCAAUUGACGUUACCUACAGAAGAAGCACCGGCUAACUCCGUGCCAGCAGCCGCGGUAAUACGGAGGGUGCGAGCGUUAUUCGGAAUUACUGGGCGUAAAGCGCACGCAGGCGGUUGCCCAAGUCAGAUGUGAAAGCCCCGGGCUUAACCUGGGAACUGCAUUUGAAACUGGGCGACUAGAGUAUGAAAGAGGAAAGC
This 633-nucleotide ribosomal RNA is filed under the name Cardiobacterium hominis. Its description in RNAcentral is "bacterial SSU rRNA". It matches the Rfam family "Bacterial small subunit ribosomal RNA", at positions 35 to 662 of the family's 1533-position model. Lineage: Bacteria; Pseudomonadati; Pseudomonadota; Gammaproteobacteria; Cardiobacteriales; Cardiobacteriaceae. The record is from RNAcentral.